AACGCUUCUCAGCCUUUUGGCUAAAAUCAAGAGUAGUAUCUGUUCUUAUCAGUUUAAUAUCUGACUUGUUCUCUAUCCGAGGACAAUAUAUUAAAUGGAUUUUUGGAGCAGGGAGUUGGAUAGGAGCUUGCUCCGUCCACUCCACGCAUUGACCUCGUAUCGCAGUAUCUCCGGAAACAGUGCACCUCUU
Small nuclear RNA from Nycticebus coucang (slow loris), 190 nucleotides. RefSeq annotates it as U2 spliceosomal RNA. The transcript has a single exon. The record is from RefSeq and is a predicted model, not a curated record. Lineage: Eukaryota; Metazoa; Chordata; Mammalia; Primates; Lorisidae.